CGGGAGGCAGCAGUGGGGAAUAUUGCACAAUGGGCGCAAGCCUGAUGCAGCAACGCCGCGUGCGGGAUGACGGCCUUCGGGUUGUAAACCGCUUUCAGCAGGGACGAAGCGCAAGUGACGGUACCUGCAGAAGAAGCACCGGCUAACUACGUGCCAGCAGCCGCGGUAA
Molecule: ribosomal RNA, 169 nt
Filed under: uncultured bacterium
Lineage: Bacteria
Description: partial 16S ribosomal RNA
Rfam family: Bacterial small subunit ribosomal RNA
Source: RNAcentral